UUCUAUCUUUCUUAGCAAUGUUGUGAUUGAUGGAUUUGUUUUUUUUUCAUUAUUUUUUUCUGGUUAUGGUAUGGGCAGUUCUCCAUCGACCCAGAAUCUGAUUGAGCCUGUGUGAUCUUCUCGAUCAUUAUUUUAAAGGGUCAUCCCUUUAUGGAAGAAAAGAAAUUUGAUGUAGAUUCGUGGCUCUGUACUUAUACAUCCCGUUAUUGUACUAUUGUAAAACAUAUUUGUAUUCUUGUCUUUCAUUUUUAUACUAAUGUGCCUUGUCUUUAUGCCUUUUUUUAUGUUUCUUUGGUACAUAUAGGACGUGGCUCUGUACAUCCCGUCAUUGUGUUAUUGUACUAUCAUGGUAAAUUGUGUAUAUAAAAAAGAAGAUGUGGUAUGAUUGCCAAUGAGACAACUAUCCACAAAAGACCAAACUGACACAGACAUUAACAACUAUAGGUCACCGUAUGGCCUUCAACAAUGA
Molecule: long non-coding RNA, 469 nt
Filed under: Mytilus galloprovincialis (Mediterranean mussel)
Lineage: Eukaryota; Metazoa; Mollusca; Bivalvia; Mytilida; Mytilidae
Source: RNAcentral